AGUGGCAGACGGGUGAGUAAUGUAUAGGAAUCUACCUAGUAGUACGGAAUAAUUGUUGGAAACGGCAACUAAUACCGUAUACGCCCUACGGGGGAAAAAUUUAUUGCUAUUAGAUGAGCCUAUAUUAGAUUAGUUAGUUGGUGAGGUAAAGGCUUACCAAGACAAUGAUCUAUAGCUGAUCUGAGAGGAUGAUCAGCCACACUGGAACUGAGAUACGGUCCAGACUCCUACGGGAGGCAGCAGUGGGGAAUAUUGGACAAUGGGCGAAAGCCUGAUCCAGCCAUGCCGCAUGAGUGAAGAAGGCCUUCGGGUUGUAAAGCUCUUUUAGUGAGGAAGAUAAUGACGGUACUCACAGAAGAAGUCCUGGCUAACUCCGUGCCAGCAGCCGCGGUAAUACGGAGAGGGCUAGCGUUAUUCGGAAUCAUUGGGCGUAAAGGGCGCGUANGCGGGUUAGUAAGUUAAAAGUGAAAUCCCAAGGCUCAACCUUGGAACUGCUUUUAAAACUGCUAGUCUAGAGAUUGAAAGANGAUAGAGGAAUUCCUAGUGUAGAGAUGAAAUUCGUAAAUAUUANGAGGAACACC
RNAcentral lists this ribosomal RNA (581 nucleotides) under uncultured Wolbachia sp. Its description in RNAcentral is "bacterial SSU rRNA". It matches the Rfam family "Bacterial small subunit ribosomal RNA", at positions 94 to 710 of the family's 1533-position model. The record is from RNAcentral. Lineage: Bacteria; Pseudomonadati; Pseudomonadota; Alphaproteobacteria; Rickettsiales; Anaplasmataceae.